Molecule: ribosomal RNA, 467 nt
Filed under: uncultured bacterium
Lineage: Bacteria
Description: partial 16S ribosomal RNA
Rfam family: Bacterial small subunit ribosomal RNA
Source: RNAcentral
GACGAACGCUGGCGGCGUGCUUAACACAUGCAAGUCGAACGGAAAGGCCUCUUUCGGGGGGUACUCGAGUGGCGAACGGGUGAGUAACACGUGAGUAACCUGCCCUUGACUUUGGGAUAACUUCAGGAAACUGGGGCUAAUACCGGAUAGGAGCUCCUGCUGCAUGGUGGGGGUUGGAAAGUUUCGGCGGUUGGGGAUGGACUCGCGGCUUAUCAGCUUGUUGGUGGGGUAGUGGCUUACCAAGGCUUUGACGGGUAGCCGGCCUGAGAGGGUGACCGGCACAAUGGGGAAGGAGAGCGGGCCCGGACGCCGGGGGGGGGAGGAGGGGGGGAUGUUGGAAAAAGGGGUGGGGGCCUGAAGCAGCACGGCCGUGGGGGGGAGGGGGGUCUUGGGGUUGGAACCCGCUUCCGCCCGGGAAAAAGUUUGGUGGGAGGGGGGGGGAAAAAGAAGCACGGCUAACCUAGGUC